UGGGGAAUAUUGCACAAUGGGGGAAACCCUGAUGCAGCGACGCCGCGUGAGCGAAGAAGGCUUUCGAGUCGUAAAGCUCUGUCCUAUGAGAAGAUAAUGACGGUAUCAUAGGAGGAAGCACUGGCUAAAUACGUGCCAGCAGCCGCGGUAAUACGUUUGGGGCGAGCGUUGUCCGGAAUUAUGCGGCGUAAAGGGUACGUAGGUGGUUUUUUAAGUAAGGUGUCAAAGCGUGGAGCUUAACUCCAUUAAGCACUUGAAACUGAAAGACUUAAGUGAAGGAGAGGAAAGUUGAAUUCCUAGUGUAGCGGUGAAAGGCGUGGAUAUUAGGAGGAAUACCGGUGGAGAAAGCGACUUGCUGGACUUUUACUGACGCUCUGGUACGAAAGCGUGGGGAGCAAACAGG
RNAcentral lists this ribosomal RNA (403 nucleotides) under Verrucomicrobiota bacterium. RNAcentral's name for it is "Verrucomicrobia bacterium partial 16S ribosomal RNA". It matches the Rfam family "Bacterial small subunit ribosomal RNA", at positions 355 to 776 of the family's 1533-position model. The record is from RNAcentral. Lineage: Bacteria; Pseudomonadati; Verrucomicrobiota.